UACGAAGGGGGCUAGCGUUGCUCGGAAUUACUGGGCGUAAAGGGCGCGUAGGCGGACAUUUAAGUCAGGGGUGAAAUCCCGGGGCUCAACCCCGGAAUUGCCUUUGAUACUGGGUGUCUUGAGUAUGAGAGAGGUAUGUGGAACUCCGAGUGUAGAGGUGAAAUUCGUAGAUAUUCGGAAGAACACCAGUGGCGAAGGCGACAUACUGGCUCAUUACUGACGCUGAGGCGCGAAAGCGUGGGGAGCAAACAGG
This 253-nucleotide ribosomal RNA is filed under the name uncultured bacterium. RNAcentral's name for it is "partial 16S ribosomal RNA". It matches the Rfam family "Bacterial small subunit ribosomal RNA", at positions 524 to 776 of the family's 1533-position model. The record is from RNAcentral.